CACUGUACCACAAAUCCACUUUGCAGUCAUCAACAUAAAACUAGCAAAAAUAUGCUGUAUUUGUCAAAAUAAAAAAGUAAAACAACUUUCAUUACACAAUUUUCGUUCAAAUAAAAAUAAAACACAAAAAAUUCGUCCGUUAAAAUACUUUUGAAAAAGCAGCCUCAACACAACUGAAGAUGUGCGAACCUUGCGGUUUUUCCGUUGCUCCUUGUGGCCCAUACGGACCCAUAGGACCUUAUGGACCGAUUACCGCUUGUGGAGCGCAUGGUUUUUGUGGACCGCCUUGCAUACCGGAUUCAUCACCGAACCCGCCCUGCUGUCCGUCACCAUGUCCAGUAGGCUGUUGUCCACCACCAUGUGAUCCCUGCUCCAACUGUUGUCCAAAUCCAUGCUGCCUCUAAAAUGGAUUGAAUGUUGGAGUCUGUUGAAUUGCAAUAUUUAAAGGAGUUUCACGCAUGCUUUAGUUGUAUUGGCGCAAAAAAACAAAUUUGUCCAAAGACCGUUUAUGUUGAGCGAAACGUCGAGUUGUGUGUCUUCAGUUGUACAUGGAUCUUUGUACAUACUGAAUUCAUCAAGUGAACGCACGCUUAAGCCCUUUGUGUUAGACAGUGCAUGUAAAAAUUAAUCAACGCGUCUUAUUAGAAAUGGUAACCAAUUGUUUCGUUUACAGUAAUAAAAUUCUUGCAAUAGCAAUGUACAAAACCCCAAAAUCGAUAUUUUAUUGGGUAAGAUUGGGGGUAUCGAAAGUUUGAAAGAAACUAUGUGUAUCUUAAAGGGUCUAUCGACGUUGCUGGUAAAAGUAUUUAUCACUCAAAAGAGUUUUUUUAAUUGUAAGCUAGAUACUCCUACAGAAAAGUCCAAAUAGAAGUAGACUCCGACAUAUCCAUAGUCAAGUGACCACUGAUAUAAUACUGAAAACUAAUCUAGACAUGGCUGCUAGAACUACACUAAGCCCAAUAAUGGCUAGGACCGACAAAUGGCUUCGAGCGGCAUUACUUCUAAAGAGAGAUUUAUAUCCCGUACUAACUGAAUAAUAGAACGGAAAUGAAGGAAUCUGUAUGAGAUCUCAUCAAUUAAUAACGAUAAUGGAUCCCCUUGAUGACUUUUUCUUGACUAGUGAUUCGACAGAGGAAGACCUCCUUUAUAUAUUAUUAUCGAAAUAUUUGGUCCUAAAUCGGAAUAUAUUUUAGGCUACAAAUCUCUGUCUCCUGAUUACAACGUCCAAAAGAAUGGGACAAAUGAAAUGAAUGUUCGGAAAUCUCAACACAAACACUCUCAUGAAACCAAAGUAGAACAUCCAACAAAUGUGAAUCCAUGAGAGAACUAUUGAAACAGCAAGUCGUGGUCUAGUUCCGAAAUUUUGGUUAUGAAUACAAUAUAAAAGCGCAAUGCUGAAAUCUGCAUCUCUAUCCCUUUGUUAAUGUUAGACGACCACUUCAUAAGUCUCGUCGAAAUACUGUCGCUCAAAGUAUUACUUCGACCUCUUUUAUGCCCAGUUUACAUAGAAUUUGUUGUCAAUACAAUUUUUUUCAUAUCAUUCAUUGAUAUUUUGGCCUAACAAGAACAUUGAAAAUUUAAAAGUAGUCUUUCAAAAAUCCUCUUCCAUUUGGAAAACGCUCUACCCAGGAUGUGCGAUCGCUGUUCAAACAAUAAAAAUGGCUCUACUACUUCCUCUUGCCAGGAUAGCUAUUGUAGUACAUGUUGUCCUAAUGGUAUUUGCAGCCGUACGCGCACAUCACAAAAUCCAAAACCAGAUCCAACGGCCUGGACCGGGCCGAGCCAGUCGUUUAGCCGUGAAUCGCAUCCAAAUUGGGUACAACAACAACGUUGGGCGUGACUAACAAAGCGACUGAGGCAGUCACAAAAAUUAUACGAGAUCGAAAAGCAAAAACCAACAAAACUCUUAGUAUUGGAAUCGGAAUGUAGUCUACCAAAAAUCUCUGCGAAGGUGAUCAUAUCGCCGGAAAGUGAACCACCACCAAGAGUGAUGAUUAUGCCGACCGAUUCCAAGGAGUCCUUAAUCUUCCGACAGGAUUCCACUGAGGAUUUGCGAAAACCAACAAAACUUAUGAUUAUUCCAUCUAGAGUUUUGGAUACGAGUAAAACCCUUAAGUAUGAUGUAAUUAAAAUGAGGGUUUACUAAUCUCCACGAACAACGGGCUUACACUCGUCAUUGUAGGCAUCUAGAUGAUAGUACAAAAGUAGCGCUGGGCUUUACAAGAUCUAUAGCAAGGAGAUUUCCAACGCUUAUGUGCAAGUGGAAAGUACAUUUUCUAUUAUCUAGUGAAUUAGCCGAUGCAGUGCGUAUGGAUCCCGCCAGAUUCUAUAGGCCACAUCUUACAUCUGCUGUUCGCUUUGAUGAUCGAAAUAGGGUUAAGCCGAAGCCUCCACCACGCCCGCAAAGAAAUCCAAUGCUAAUGACGAGCUGUCUACCGCGCUGUCCACUCCGGAACGGUUUACAAAAGAUUGUUAACGAUUUUAAGUUGGUUUAUAAUAAUCCUGCUUGAACAAAUAAAACUCGUACCUCAGCCAUACAGGAAGAAUUCUAUGUAGUUUUUUUAUGUUGGGACUAAUUGGGUUGGAGAUUUCAAUUAUGUUAGAGCGGAUUUACCGUUUUUUUUGUAUGAGAUGUAUGUUUGGAAACAUGAGUAUAUUGCUUUUCGCAGCAUUUCGAGAAUAUUCGCUAAGAAAUGUACUUUCUUACACGGCCAGCAAACUUGCAAACCAAUAUUCAAUAUUAUGACUAUUAACUUUCCAAGUUGUCCAAACCCAAAGCUCGAACGUCUGGUGAGUUCAUAAAAAUAUAAAACUUACUCUAUCCUCGGUCUCUCUGAACCCUUUGUUGUUCUAUCAAACUCGUUUCAAAUAUUACUCUAAGCUCCGUGCCCAAAAGCGGCUAUAGAGACUAGGGUCAGAAAAUAACCAGAAAACGGUUAAUUUUUGAGAAUGAGAGUGAUUAUGGAGAUGAGUUCUCUUCUUUGGGACUCCACCUCUCACCAUUAGAAAGUUCUCCCUUAAAUGCUGGAUUAAGAGCAGUGACCACUUGUUCUAAUUUUAAUCCCAAGUGCUCAAUGAGAAAUAUUUUAUUUGUAUUUGUGUUUUGUAGAAAAAAUCACUCAAAUCAUUCAAAAACUUUUCGGCUUUUAGUAAACAACAAAAUUACACGAUAUUUUCGAUUAUCAUCUUCAAACUAACAGCCUACUUGGACAAAACUACUCAAAAUGUCUUUUCCCUGUUGCGGUUGCUGCGGCUCCUAUGGUUGCCCGACUGGCCCUUGUGGCCCCUGCGGUCCGUGUGGACCUUGUCGACCAGGCGGACCAUGCCAACCCUGUGGACCAUGUGGUCCAUGCAGCCCUUGCGGACCAUGUGGUCCCUGCGGCCCUUGUGGAUCUUGUUGCGGACCGUCGCGUUGCGGCCCAUGCGGUCCUUGUGGUCCCUGCUGUAGCCCUUGCGGUCCUUGUAUAACGCGCGGUCCAUGCGGCCCUUGUGGUACGUGUGGACCUUGCUGUAGUCCAUAUCCGCGCUGCUGCGCGUUCGGCUGCCCGUGUUCAAAAUGCCCAAACCCAUGUCGGUAUCUGAAGCCGAAGUACUAAGAUAACGCGCAUACUGGGUGUCGGUGGUGUACAAAACUUUGGACUGUAUGUACAGCGGGGUUGUUGAGGUAUGAUACAGGAGAAAUAGAGAGAAACUUGAGUUGGAAAUUGAAUUUCAAAUGCAACAAGCGCUGAAAAAAGAUGGCGAUCGUUGGACAACAAGUGGAUCAAGCAAUUUCAUAAUAGAUUUCAAAAAGAAUGCGUCUGCAAUUGCCAUAUGUCGUUUUGUUCAUUUGAUAUUUUGUAUGAAGAUAUAUGAGAAUAAAAAAGUGCACCUUACAAAGGUUGAUUGAAAAAUAAAAAACACUGCAUAAGUGGAUUAAUUGUCAAAGAUGAGCAUUUUAAAUUCAUAAAAUUUUGAAAAUUCCGAAAGUAAACAACACCUCAUUGGCACGGAGGAUUUUUAUUUGUUAAAAAUUUCUGCGCUAACUAAAAACACUUCAGCAAUCGCCUAAUGCAGUGCCCUUGCUGGUGCUAUCGACCGACUCCUUGUGGUCCUUAUGGUCCCUUCGGUCCAUGGGGUUAUAUAGGACCAUGCGGAGCCAUAGGUCCUUGCACGCCGUGUGGUGCGCCGUGGGGUUCGUGUCAGCCAUGUGGCAGUUGUUGUUCGCCAUGCGGCUCUUCGUGUUAUGGCCGUAGAUGUUGUUAAACGAGAGUUACCCGAUGCACACACGCACUCAUAACUAGUCGGUGAGAUUAAUGAAAAAGCAAAGCAUCGAUUUGGGCAAUGAAUUGGGUGAAUUGAAAUGGCAAGUGUAUUUCGUUAAGAACAUGUGAAUUGGAAGGUGAAAGGCAUAAAAAUCUAAAAAAAAUAACAAAAAAUAACAAAAAUAUUUUCAUACAAAAUGUUUUUUAAAUUUUUGAGAUUUUGUAAAUAAAGUGUGCAAAAUUCUCAAAAACAUAAA
RNA transcript from Zeugodacus cucurbitae (melon fly), 4501 nucleotides. RefSeq lists it as uncharacterized. Lineage: Eukaryota; Metazoa; Arthropoda; Insecta; Diptera; Tephritidae. The record is from RefSeq and is a predicted model, not a curated record. The transcript is spliced from 7 exons.